RNAcentral lists this ribosomal RNA (460 nucleotides) under uncultured bacterium. RNAcentral's name for it is "partial 16S ribosomal RNA". It matches the Rfam family "Bacterial small subunit ribosomal RNA", at positions 338 to 795 of the family's 1533-position model. The record is from RNAcentral.
CCUACGGGUGGCAGCAGUGAGGAAUAUUGGUCAAUGGGCUUACGCCUGAACCAGCCAAGUCGCGUGAGGGAUGACUGCCCUAUGGGUUGUAAACCUCUUUUGUCAGGGAGCAACGCCGGCUACGUGUAGACGGACUGAGAGUACCUGAAGAAAAAGCAUGGGCUAACUCCGUGCCAGCAGCCGCGGUAAUACGGAGGAUGCGAGCGUUAUCCGGAUUGAUUGGGUUUAAAGGGUGCGUAGGCGGAAUGCCAAGUCAGCGGUAAAAUCGCGGGGCUCAACCUCGCUCCGCCGUUGAAACUGGCGUUCUUGAGUGGGCGAGAAGUAUGCGGAAUGCGUGGUGUAGCGGUGAAAUGCAUAGAUAUCACGCAGAACUCCGAUUGCGAAGGCAGCAUACCGGCGCCCAACUGACGCUGAAGCACGAAAGCGUGGGUAUCGAACAGGAUUAGAUACCCGUGUAGUC